UGCGCACCGGCUAUUUAAACUGAGGUGCCAAACUGGGUCCCUCCCAUUUCCGCUUCUCCUGUGGUGGCUGCAGCUUGGCGGAGUAACGCAAAUUGUUUGGCGUGGCAGUAUUCAUGUCCUACUCUCUACCGGACAGCGGGAUUUGGCUGUGGGAUUUGCGGGUCUCAUUCCCUCCCUUGUCGGCUCUGUGGCUGCGCCUGGCUGCACCGGGUGGGGUGUUCUAACUAUUCUCGCUCCCCACCUUUGGCCAUCAUUCCCGUCCCGUGCUGCUGUUUUGGCUCUCGAGUUUUGGGCUCUGUGAGCUUCGCUCCUCGCUG
Molecule: long non-coding RNA, 317 nt
Organism: Notothenia coriiceps (black rockcod)
Lineage: Eukaryota; Metazoa; Chordata; Actinopteri; Perciformes; Nototheniidae
Exons: 3
Source: RefSeq, a predicted model, not a curated record